RNAcentral lists this ribosomal RNA (429 nucleotides) under Chloroflexota bacterium. RNAcentral describes it as "Chloroflexi bacterium partial 16S ribosomal RNA". It matches the Rfam family "Bacterial small subunit ribosomal RNA", at positions 355 to 776 of the family's 1533-position model. The record is from RNAcentral. Lineage: Bacteria; Bacillati; Chloroflexota.
UGGGGAAUAUUGCACAAUGGGCGCAAGCCUGAUGCAGCCAUGCCGCGUGUGUGAAGAAGGUCUUCGGGUUGUAAAGCACUUUCAGCGGGGAGGAAGGCGAUAAGGUUAAUAACCUUGUCGAUUGACGUUACCCGCAGAAGAAGCACCGGCUAACUCCGUGCCAGCAGCCGCGGUAAUACGGAGGGUGCAAGCGUUAAUCGGAAUUACUGGGCGUAAAGCGCACGCAGGCGGUCUGUCAAGUCGGAUGUGAAAUUCCCGGGCUCAACCUGGGAACUGCAUUCGAAACUGGCAGGCUAGAGUCUUGUAGAGGGGGGUAGAAUUACAGGUGUAGCGGUGAAAUGCGUAGAGAUCUGGAGGAAUACCGGUGGCGAAGGCGGCCCCCUGGACAAAAACUGACGCUCAGGUGCGAAAGCGUAGGGAGCAAACAGG